GUUAAUGUAGCUUAACAAUAAAGCAAAGCACUGAAAAUGCUUAGAUGAGUAGUCACUACUCCAUAAACA
Molecule: transfer RNA, 69 nt
Filed under: Murina leucogaster (Greater tube-nosed bat)
Lineage: Eukaryota; Metazoa; Chordata; Mammalia; Chiroptera; Vespertilionidae
Description: tRNA-Phe
Rfam family: tRNA
About the family: Transfer RNA (tRNA) molecules are approximately 80 nucleotides in length. Their secondary structure includes four short double-helical elements and three loops (D, anti-codon, and T loops). Further hydrogen bonds mediate the characteristic L-shaped molecular structure. tRNAs have two regions of fundamental functional importance: the anti-codon, which is responsible for specific mRNA codon recognition, and the 3' end, to which the tRNAs corresponding amino acid is attached (by aminoacyl-tRNA synthetases). tRNAs cope with the degeneracy of the genetic code in two manners: having more than one tRNA (with a specific anti-codon) for a particular amino acid; and 'wobble' base-pairing, i.e. permitting non-standard base-pairing at the 3rd anti-codon position.
Source: RNAcentral